RNAcentral lists this small nuclear RNA (319 nucleotides) under Meleagris gallopavo (turkey). Its description in RNAcentral is "7SK RNA". It matches the Rfam family "7SK RNA". Rfam says of the family: 7SK was discovered as an abundant small nuclear RNA in the mid-70s but a possible function has only recently been suggested. Lineage: Eukaryota; Metazoa; Chordata; Aves; Galliformes; Phasianidae. The record is from Rfam by way of RNAcentral.
AGAUGUGAGGGCGAACUGGCUGUGACAUCUUUCACCCCACCGAUUGCUAAGGCUGAUCUGACUGGGUUGGUGGGUGUCUCCUUCCUCCCCCACCAUUCCAUGCGCAUCCCUCCCAAAGCUGCUUACGUAGUGAAAGAGGAUAACUUUCCCUGAUAGAGAUGUCCCAUUCAUUGCUCAAGGGUAUAUGGUAGCUGCAUUCCCUUGCUAGAAUCUCCAAACAAGCUCAGGGUCCAUUUGUAGGAGAACAUAGGGUAGUCAAGCUUCUAGGACUGCAGGUACAUCCAAGUGAGGUACUGUAUGGGGCAGUCUGCCAUUGUUU